This 112-nucleotide microRNA precursor is filed under the name Polistes canadensis. RNAcentral describes it as "microRNA pca-mir-927b precursor". Its record names the gene pca-mir-927b. The record is from miRBase by way of RNAcentral. Lineage: Eukaryota; Metazoa; Arthropoda; Insecta; Hymenoptera; Vespidae.
AACGGUGUUACGUUAUUUAUUUUAGAAUUUGUACGAUCUGCUGUCGAGAACGAUUUCACAGAGCGUACCGAUUCUUUAAUAAGUAUCGUCAACAACAAGCAACGUUGGAUCA